GUGCUCGCUUCGGCAGCACAUACACUAAAAUGGGAACCAUUUAGGGAAGGUUAGCAUGGGCCUGCGCAAGGAUGACAUGCAAAUUUGUGAAGCGUUCCAUGUUUAA
Molecule: small nuclear RNA, 106 nt
Organism: Vicugna pacos (alpaca)
Lineage: Eukaryota; Metazoa; Chordata; Mammalia; Artiodactyla; Camelidae
Source: Ensembl